ACCUACUAGGCUCAGUGGGUAGAGUGUGCGACUCUUGAUCUCAGGGUCGUGAGUUCAAGCCCACAUUGGGCG
Molecule: transfer RNA, 72 nt
Filed under: Canis lupus familiaris (dog)
Lineage: Eukaryota; Metazoa; Chordata; Mammalia; Carnivora; Canidae
Also listed under: 2 other names
Rfam family: tRNA
About the family: Transfer RNA (tRNA) molecules are approximately 80 nucleotides in length.
Source: Rfam by way of RNAcentral